ACGGAAGGCAGCAGUGGGGAAUAUUGCACAAUGGGGGAAACCCUGAUGCAGCGAUGCCGCGUGGAGGAAGAAGGUUUUCGGAUUGUAAACUCCUGUCUUAAGGGACGAUAAUGACGGUACCUUAGGAGGAAGCUCCGGCUAACUACGUGCCAGCAGCCGCGGUAAUACGUAGGGAGCGAGCGUUGUCCGGAAUUACUGGGUGUAAAGGGAGCGUAGGCGGGAUGGCAAGUCAGAUGUGAAAUAUGCCGGCUCAACUGGCAGACUGCAUUUGAAACUGCGGUUCUUGAGUGAAGUAGAGGUAAGCGGAAUUCCUAGUGUAGCGGUGAAAUGCGUAGAUAUUAGGAGGAACAUCAGUGGCGAAGGCGGCUUACUGGGCUUUAACUGACGCUGAGGCUCGAAAGCGUGGGGAGCAAACAGGAUUAGAUACCCUGGUA
Molecule: ribosomal RNA, 434 nt
Filed under: uncultured Ruminococcus sp.
Lineage: Bacteria; Bacillati; Bacillota; Clostridia; Eubacteriales; Oscillospiraceae
Description: partial 16S ribosomal RNA
Rfam family: Bacterial small subunit ribosomal RNA
Source: RNAcentral